This 803-nucleotide ribosomal RNA is filed under the name uncultured Pelagibacteraceae bacterium. RNAcentral's name for it is "bacterial SSU rRNA". It matches the Rfam family "Bacterial small subunit ribosomal RNA", at positions 35 to 887 of the family's 1533-position model. The record is from RNAcentral. Lineage: Bacteria; Pseudomonadati; Pseudomonadota; Alphaproteobacteria; Candidatus Pelagibacterales; Candidatus Pelagibacteraceae.
GCUGGCGGCACGCCUAAUACAUGCAAGUCGAACGGGGUAGCAAUACCUAGUGGCAGACGGGUGAGUAACAUGUGGGUACCUUCCCUUUGGUGAGGAAUAACACGAGGAAACUUGUGCUAAUACCUCAUAAGUCUUUACGGAGAAAGCUUUAUGCGCCGAUGGAUGGGCCCGCACUUGAUUAGUUAGUUGGUAAGGUAAAAGCUUACCAAGACUUUGAUCAAUAGCUGAUUUGAGAGGAUGAUCAGCCACAUUGGGACUGAGACACGGCCCAAACUCCUACGGGAGGCAGCAGUAGGGAAUCUUGCACAAUGGAGGAAACUCUGAUGCAGCGAUGCCGCGUGAGUGAAGAAGGCCCUUGGGUUGUAAAGCUCUUUCGUCGGGGAAGAAAAUGACUGUACCCGAAUAAGAAGGUCCGGCUAACUUCGUGCCAGCAGCCGCGGUAAUACGAAGGGACCUAGCGUAGUUCGGAAUUACUGGGCUUAAAGAGUUCGUAGGUGGUUAAAAAAGUUGGUGGUGAAAUCCCAGAGCUUAACUCUGGAACUGCCAUCAAAACUUUUUAGCUAGAGUAUGAUAGAGGAAAGCAGAAUUUCUAGUGUAGAGGUGAAAUUCGUAGAUAUUAGAAAGAAUACCGAUUGCGAAGGCAGCUUUCUGGAUCAUUACUGACACUGAGGAACGAAAGCAUGGGUAGCGAAGAGGAUUAGAUACCCUCGUAGUCCAUGCCGUAAACGAUGUGUGUUAGAUGUUGGAAUUUUUUUUCAGUAUCGCAGCGAAAGCGUUAAACACACCGCCUGGGGAGUACGACC